GUUCCUAGCAAAGGGUUAUAGCCAGAUAAUGCAUUAUAAUUCUUACAUCGAUACUUUGUAUUGUUAAACACUGCAGUGUAGAUUAUACAUGCUAAAAUGAACCGUUUUACGGUAAAUCAAAUCAAAUUGUGAAAAUGAUUAUUCAUAUUGGCAAAGGGAAGGGAAAGAUGUAAAUUAUGGAGCUUGAUGUCUUUCAUGUUCUCUAAAUUACAAUUAACAAAUAAAUUAAAAGGAUACUUCAAAUGGUACACGCUUUCCCCUUGUUUGGAAUGUAGGGUUUUACAAGAAUUCAAUUGGUAAUUGGUAUUAUUAAUCCAAUGUUAGUGGUGGCAACCAUCAAAUGAAUUGGACUUUUCUUUUGAUAAGCAAGAAAUUUCAUUAAAGAAAAAGAAGAUACAGAAGAUGAGGAGAGCUGCAACCUAGCCCAUGCCAACAGGCAUUCCCCACAAGACCCGACCUAAAGCAGCAACCUCCUCACCCCAAUAAGAACAAAAACAGGCUAAAGUCAUAUCAGAUCAACAAAGACACAGCAAAAUCCAGACAAUUCUACAAGAAAGCUAUGAAGACAUGCAAGAGUGACCCUGGUUAGCUAAACAAAAGGCGGUCAAAUUUGCUACACUUAGAAAAAGACACACAUGUAUAAACCUCUGUGAUCACGGA
RNAcentral lists this unclassified non-coding RNA (660 nucleotides) under Hevea brasiliensis (rubber tree). The record is from RNAcentral. Lineage: Eukaryota; Viridiplantae; Streptophyta; Magnoliopsida; Malpighiales; Euphorbiaceae.